AGAUCAAUGAUGACUCCCAUAAAUGCAUUCCCUGGAAAUCUGAACAAAAUGAGUGCACAAUCUCUACUGUCUCCUCAUUGGAACUGAGGUCC
Molecule: small nucleolar RNA, 92 nt
Organism: Delphinapterus leucas (beluga whale)
Lineage: Eukaryota; Metazoa; Chordata; Mammalia; Artiodactyla; Monodontidae
Gene: SNORD116
Rfam family: Small nucleolar RNA SNORD116
About the family: HBII-85 is a member of the C/D class of snoRNAs, which contain the C (UGAUGA) and D (CUGA) box motifs. HBII-85 is encoded in a tandemly repeated array with another C/D snoRNA, HBII-52, in the Prader-Willi syndrome (PWS) region of chromosome 15.
Source: Ensembl